GUGUUUGGUUUUGUUCUUCAAAAUUCUCCGUCAGAGUCGGAGCUGCGUUGUCUGACCGUAGAUCGACGUGUCGUCGAUAAGGGGUGCUUUACCCUGUGUAAUUCAGUCUAUGGAAGUGGGCUUGGUCCUUGCGGUAUCGGUUUUUGCCCGAUUUUCCAUAAUUAACUGGACAAUUAUUUUAUUCUUAUUUAAUAAAUGAGGCAACCUCCGCCUCCGUUUCGAAAAAAAAUGAGUGGACCAAGAGGGUGGUCUGCGACAAUGUGGG
RNAcentral lists this long non-coding RNA (265 nucleotides) under Hordeum vulgare. Its description in RNAcentral is "long non-coding RNA (HVUL_LNC019516)". The record is from RNAcentral. Lineage: Eukaryota; Viridiplantae; Streptophyta; Magnoliopsida; Poales; Poaceae.